UAGGAAAUUCAAGCACAGCUUGGUGUUGGGCGCCUCGUCCCCCGUCCGGGAGGACCCGCCUCAAAUGCAUUGGCAGCCGGUCCGUUGGCUUCGAGCGCAGCAGAAUAGCGCCCGGCGUCCGACGGCACCUAGCUCUCCAGGAAGCCACCCCCCCAUUU
This 158-nucleotide unclassified non-coding RNA is filed under the name Versicolorisporium triseptatum. RNAcentral describes it as "ITS2". The record is from RNAcentral. Lineage: Eukaryota; Fungi; Ascomycota; Dothideomycetes; Pleosporales; Occultibambusaceae.